RNAcentral lists this ribosomal RNA (483 nucleotides) under uncultured bacterium. Its description in RNAcentral is "partial 16S ribosomal RNA". It matches the Rfam family "Bacterial small subunit ribosomal RNA", at positions 28 to 507 of the family's 1533-position model. The record is from RNAcentral.
GACGAACGCUGGCGGCGUGCUUAACACAUGCAAGUCGAACGCUGAAGCUCAGCUUUUGUUGGGUGGAUGAGUGGCGAACGGGUGAGUAACACGUGAGUAACCUGCCCCCUUCUUUGGCAUAACGCCCGGAAACGGGUGCUAAUACUGGAUAUUCACUGGUCUUCGCAUGGGGGUUGGUGGAAAGGGUUUUUCUGGUGGGGGAUGGGCUCGCGGCCUAUCAGCUUGUUGGUGGGGUGAUGGCCUACCAAGGCUUUGACGGGUAGCCGGCCUGAGAGGGUGACCGGUCACAUUGGGACUGAGAUACGGCCCAGACUCCUACGGGAGGCAGCAGUGGGGAAUAUUGCACAAUGGGCGCAAGCCUGAUGCAGCGACGCCGCGUGAGGGAUGGAGGCCUUCGGGUUGUGAACCUCUUUCGCUCAUGGUCAAGCCGCAACAAUGGUUGUGGUGAGGGUAGUGGGUAAAGAAGCGCCGGCUAACUACGUG